This 382-nucleotide ribosomal RNA is filed under the name uncultured eukaryote. Its description in RNAcentral is "partial 18S ribosomal RNA". It matches the Rfam family "Eukaryotic small subunit ribosomal RNA", at positions 593 to 976 of the family's 1831-position model. The record is from RNAcentral.
AAUAGCGUAUAUUAAAGUUGUUGCAGUUAAAAAGCUCGUAGUUGGAUUUCUGGUGGGAGCGAUCGGUCUGGCGCUUAGCGCGAGUACUUGCAUCGUCUCCGGCCAUCCUUGGGGAGAGUCUGUCUGGCAUUAGGUUGUCGGGCAGAGGAUCCUCAUCGUUUACUGUGAAAGAAUUAGAGUGUUCAAAGCAGGCUUAUGCCGUUGAAUAUAUUAGCAUGGAAUAAUAAGAUAGGACUUUGGUACUAUUUUGUUGGUUUGCGCACCAAAGUAAUGAUUAAUAGGGACAGUUGGGGGUAUUCGUAUUCCGUUGUCAGAGGUGAAAUUCUUGGAUUUACGGAAGACGAACUACUGCGAAAGCAUUUACCAAGGAUGUUUUCAUUAA